This is an RNA transcript of Rattus norvegicus (Norway rat), 5087 nucleotides long. It is a transcript of the gene named vesicle trafficking 1, with no coding region annotated. NCBI's taxonomy places the organism in Eukaryota, Metazoa, Chordata, Mammalia, Rodentia, Muridae. The record is from RefSeq and is marked validated.
GGAAGCGGAAGUGUCUGUGACCCGCUAGUAGGAAGUGGCGCUUCCGGGAGUGGAGAUGGCUGCGCUGGCCCCGCUGCCGCCGCUGCCCGCGCAGUUUAAGAGCAUACAGCACCAUUUGAGAACGGCGCAGGAGCAUGACAAGCGAGAUCCUGUGGUGGCCUACUACUGUCGUUUAUAUGCUAUGCAAACUGGAAUGAAGAUUGAUAGUAAAACUCCUGAAUGUCGUAAAUUUUUAUCAAAGCUAAUGGAUCAGUUAGAAGCUCUUAAGAAACAGUUGGGGGAUAAUGAAGCUGUUACUCAAGAAAUCGUUGGUUGUGCCCAUUUGGAAAAUUAUGCUUUGAAAAUGUUCCUGUACGCGGACAACGAAGACCGAGCUGGACGAUUUCACAAAAACAUGAUCAAGUCCUUCUACACUGCCAGCCUUUUAAUAGAUGUCAUCACAGUGUUUGGCGAGCUCACAGAUGAAAAUGUGAAACAUAGAAAGUACGCAAGGUGGAAGGCAACAUAUAUUCAUAACUGCUUAAAGAAUGGGGAGACUCCUCAAGCAGGCCCUGUUGGAAUAGAGGAAGAUAACGAUGUUGAGGAAAAUGAAGAUGUUGGUGCAACCUCUCUGCCCACUCAGCCACCUCAGCCAUCAUCAUCCUCAACGUACGACCCAAGCAACUUGGCAGCAGGCAGCUACAGUGGGAUACAGAUCCCUCCGGGUGCACAUGCUCCAGCCAAUACCCCUGCAGAAGUGCCGCACAGCACAGGUGUAACAAGUAAUGCUGUCCAGCCUAGUCCACAGACUGUCCCAGCCAUUCCCGCCAUUGAUCCUGACCUGUACACAGCUUCCCAGGGUGAGUCAGCUGGCUGGCCGUAGGCUGCAUUGUGUCUUUCCUUAUUUGGGGUGGUGUUUUAACUGUUCCUUGAGUAAACCAUAUGAAUUUGAGUAUCUAGGUCAUUGAAAACAAGCUUUUUUUCACUGUGUCUGCUAGAUUGUCGUGGGAACCAGGAUUAUAUAAGUUGGUUCCAGAAAUCCAAAUCAUUUUCUUUCUUUCUCUCUUUCUUUCUUUCUUUCUUUCUUUCUUUCUUUCUUUCUUUCUUUUUUUCUUUCUUUCAUUUGUUCUAUCUAUCUAUCUAUCUAUCUAUCUAUCUAUCUAUCUAUCCCUCCUGUCUUUCCUUUACUGUUCUCUCUUUUCUUUUUGUUUGUUCUGUACUGGAUAUAAUGAUACCAAUAUCUAGCCACAGUAGCGGAAACUUAUGGCUACUUUGCUUCAUCUCAAAAUCACUAUAUUGUUGUUGUCUUUAUUCUUUUCUACACCAAACUAUUACAUUAUCCAAAAAGAAAGAGCUAACCAUGAUGCAAAUCAUCAUCACCGAAUGCGAUUAUAUAUUUGCUUGGUUCAUAUUUUAGGUGACUGGCAUGUUGAUGAAAUCUUUUACCUUUUAAUUUCUUUCUAUUUUUCUGCCUCUAGUUGGAUUUGAAAUGUAUCUUAACGUUUUAUUCAGAGUUUAAAUCUUCUUAUGGCUCAUGUAAAACCAAAGAAUGGAAUGUGCAUAAACAUUACCAAUGUAACCAAUGUAACAGAAUAGAUAUCAGGAAAAUUAAUUUAGAUCUAUGUAUCUUCAAUUAACCUAUUCAACAAAGGAGCCAAAACACAUUGGAGAAAGAUACCUCUUAGGUAGUAAGUGCUGGGGUAAGUGGAUAUCUUACAGAAGGUUAAUGUCAUCCCUUCCUAAUCCCUGUGAGAUUGUUUAAAGACAAGACUUAACACUUGGAAAUUCCUAGAGGAAAACAUAGAGGAAGAACUAAUAAACGCUGAUGGACCAGGGACUUUGUAUGUAUUUGGCUCCUAAAGGACUGGAAAUGAAAGCCGAAGUUGACAAAUGGCAUUAACCCAAAGGUAAAACAGUCAUCUGUGAAGAGACAGCCCUUAAAGUGGGAAACAAAUUUCCUAAUUAGUCAACUGUUAAAUUAAGUAAAAAUAAAACAGGGAUGAAGUUAUUGAAACAGAAAAAAAUAAUUCAAAAAAUGUUAUUCAAAAUAACCAUAUCCCUAAAUAUAGAAAGGGAGUCCUACCCCGUGAUGUUUGUCCCAAGAGGGGAGAAGCUGUCCACACGAAGCACUGCACCCACUUGCUGACGCCGUCCUUACUCAGAAACUGAGAAGCAGUGGGGCCCUCCACACUCAUAAACACGACGUCACAUGCCCAGCGAUGCCGCAUCCUCCCAUGCGAAGUGCACGUGAGCUUCCCAGCCUUUGAAAAGAAGGGAAAGAAAAGGGUAUCAGUGCGUGGAAACCCAGCCCUGUCUAAUUAGUCACACGGGUCACUAAUCUAAGCAAUCUACACCAGUGUGUUUAUGUGACCCCACAUUGUCAGGAGCUCGGAUGGGUUUUUGUAAGGACAAAGACAGAAGUUUCAGUGUAUGAGUGGAGAGCCAAAGCUAGAAUACCUCCACACCCCUGUGGGGAAACUGUCACUGCACUCACUUCCUGACGAGCUUCUUAGUCAAUACAGCACUUGCUUCAUGGCCUGAAGAACCAAAACAACAAAUGCAAGAAGGGCUGCACACUGUGUGACCCCAACUGUGACAAGAAGAAGCCAGAAGGUGAGGCAGGGAAAAGAUCAGUAUUCAUCAGUUGUGGUGAGAAAACAGGAUGAAGGGGAGAGAACAAGAACUUCUCUGCUGUAAGAAGUAUUCUAUUAGGAACAGAAAGGUUGUAUAAAUUAGUCCAAGUUCAUUGAAUUCAUGAAACCUAAAGGGAACACACAGUGGCCUCGAGGGGUUCACAGUGUGUCAGUGAAGGCUCAUCAGUUGAAUCACUGGUGGUGCCAGAAACAGAAGGGCUUUGCUUGUGUACAGGAGGUUAUGAGAAACUCUGUCUGUCUCUCAGUUUAGCUGUGAACCUAGAACUACUCUAGAUUAUCUAUUGUCAGAAAAAUAAUACAGAGUUCUGUGUUGACUCCUGCUAUCCCCGCCACCUGCAUUCCCUGUGCCUGUGCCCUACCCCUUUUCUCUUAGUACCAAGUUUCAGAAGUAUACCUGUUGUGCUAAUGUGUAAAUACAUUCAUAUUAAUGUAUCGUAGGUAAUUAUGCCUGACUCCAGAGAGGAAAAUGCAAAGCCAAAAAGUUUCAGAAUCUGCUAUGGUUUUUUUGCCUCAUAUAUUCUAAUAUAAAUUAAAACUAAUUUUCAUUUUUUUAAGUCUUAAAUGUCACAAUAUCUGGAAAAUAUUGAAUAUUAUCAUUAUAUUCAAUUACAAAAUAUUGAAAUAAUGGAACUACCUGUAUCCAUGACUUCUCUUUCCAUAAUUGGAAUCUUGUAACAAUGCCUUUUUAUAAGAAUUCAGAACUGUGGUUUUCUGUUUUCUCUGCCUGUGUCUUGAGAGGCAUAUUCACAUCAGUAAUGGAGUAUAUGCUGGUGAGAUUAGACAGAGCCCUUGACAUACUAUUUGUAAACCUAGCUACAUAAAGUGCAGAGUUCAUCUUGGAGACAUCUCUGGGGAAUUGCCGACAACAGAGGCAGCUUCCACACUCCGUUUGCUGAGCCACCUCGCACAAAUCCAUUCUAAAGAUGUAUCCGUGUAUCAGUGCUUGCUUUGGUGAUAAUGGUGAGGAUUUAGUGUGAGCCUUCCUACAGUUGCUACCUCUUCCUACGUAACGUCAUACUUUGCUGUUUCCAUCAAUGGCAGAAAAACAAAACAAAACACUAACGGCCAUUUAAAACUAGUAUGUGUGUCAGUACAGCCUUUAAAACACCUAAACUAAGCCGCCUGCUCAUCUCUGUGCUUCUGUGUGUGUGUGUGUCAGGAAGUGUGCCUUACCAUCGUCAGAAUCUUGACACGAUAAAGGAAUGAGUGAGUGAGUAAUUGAAUGAAUGAUCCUCUGUGUCUUUUCCAAAAACAAUACACUAUGUCUGCUUUUUCUCUUACCGUAGAAGUACAUAUAUACAAGGACAUGCUCGUAUCCUAGGUUAAAUGAAUAAUGUAGACUUUUACAUAUUACUCAUCUAUAAAUAGAAAACUGCUGGAAAUAAAUUUUGGAAAAUUUUCUGUAAUGAUCGUUUUCAUGUUCAGUCAGAUGUUUUAAUGAUAAGAAUUCGGAGGUGGCCUUAAGUGUCUUUUUCCAGUUACGAAGCAAAAUGUAGAAUAUUUUAAUGCUUAAAAAAGGAACCAUGUUCUGCAUGGAUGUUAUCCCCCCCCCUACACACACACACACACACACACACACACACACACACACUUUUAUUGGAGGAUAUAUUUAUGUUCUAGCUCUAAUGAGGGCUGCAGGGUUUAGUCUGUCUGUGGUGUUCCAUGGAGAGCCUCAGCGUGAAUUCCAAGCCGCUGUUCUUGUCUCACACAGCCAGAUGUUCUCAUUUUAUUUCCCUUCACAGUUAAUUUACUAAAACACAGACUUCUGGUUUAUUACUUAUUGAUAGAAAAGUAUGCAUGUGAGUUAUCUUUAUUAGCAUGUGUCUAGUUUUUAUUAGUAGCAAAACGAUGAUUGGUCUUUUUACAUUAGUAUAAAUAUGUUGCUGCAUCUUGAGCUGAACUAGGAACAGCAGGACACGCCGUGAUCUGGGUUGUGUCUGAUGUGCUUCUUCUAGGGGAUGUCCGCCUGACCCCAGAGGACUUUGCUCGGGCUCAGAAGUACUGCAAGUACGCUGGCAGUGCCCUGCAGUAUGAAGACGUGAGCACCGCGGUGCAGAACCUGCAGAAGGCCCUCAGGCUGCUGACAACGGGCAGGGAAUGAAGCUCUGCUCACGGACCCCAUGCGUUUUCUGCAUAGAGAACUAACAUUCAGUACACUUUCCUCAGCCUUUCAGGAGCAUGGUUUUACAGAAGACCUCAGUUCCCCGAGUAAGACAGUGGCUCCUGUUGUCGUCAGCUGCCUCAGCCAGUUGUCAUUGAGCGUGUAGAGCUGAUGUUAGCAUCAAACCCCGCUAUGGAAUGUCCCUGUAGAAAAUCCUGGUGGGUAUAGUAUGCUUUCUUAAUGUAUACACACUAAAGGACGUUUUUGAAAAGUCGGUAAUAUUUGGACAAACCAUAUUAUGUUGCUUUAAUAUUCUAAAUUAAACUUUUAAUAAAGAUUACCAGAAUGUUCUA